RNAcentral lists this small RNA (516 nucleotides) under Histoplasma ohiense. RNAcentral describes it as "hypothetical lncRNA". Lineage: Eukaryota; Fungi; Ascomycota; Eurotiomycetes; Onygenales; Ajellomycetaceae. The record is from RNAcentral.
GCAAGCUAUCCCUCGCUGCUAAGCUAUCGCUGCCAACCUAUCUAUCGCUGCCAACCUAUCUAUCGCUGCCAAUUUAUCUACCACUGCCAAUCUAUCUAUUGCUGCUAAUCUAUCGCUGCUGCCAAUCUAUCUAUCGCUGCUAAUCUAUCGCCGCUGCCAAUCUAUCCCUCGCUGCUAAGCUAUCCUUCGCUGCUAAGCUAUCCCUCACUACUAAGCUAUCUAUCACUGCUAAUCUAUCGCUGCCAACCUAUCUAUCACUGCCAAUCUAUCUAUCGCUGCUAAUCUAUCGCUGCUAAUCUAUCACUGCUAAUCUAUCGCUGCCAACCUAUCUAUCGCUGCCAAUUUAUCUACCACUGCCAAUCUAUCUAUUGCUGCUAAUCUAUUGCUGCUGCCAAUCUAUCUAUCGCUGCUAAUCUAUUGCUGCUGCUAAUCUAUCUAUCGCUGCUAAUCUAUCGCUGCUAAUCUAUCGCUGCUAAUCUAUCGCUGCUAAUCUAUCGCUGCUAAUCUAUCGCUGCU